GACGAACCGAGCAAACGUUAUUCGGAAUCACUGGGCUUAAAGGGCGCGUAGGCGGGCCAUCAAGUCUGUGGUGAAAUCCUCCAGCUCAACUGGAGAACGGCCGUGGAUACUGGUGGUCUCGAGGAAGGUAGGGGCAUCUGGAACUGGUGGUGGAGCGGUGAAAUGCGUUGAUAUCAUCAGGAACUCCGGUGGCGAAGGCGAGAUGCUGGACCUUUUCUGACGCUGAGGCGCGAAAGCCAGGGGAGCGAACGGG
Molecule: ribosomal RNA, 253 nt
Filed under: uncultured bacterium
Lineage: Bacteria
Description: partial 16S ribosomal RNA
Rfam family: Bacterial small subunit ribosomal RNA
Source: RNAcentral